CGUGUAGGCGGUAAUGUAAGUCAGACGUGAAAUCCUUUGGCUCAACUGAAGAACUGCGUCUGAAACUGCAUGACUAGAGUGCAGAAGAGGGAAACGGAAUUCCAGGUGUAGAGGUGAAAUUCGUAGAUAUCUGGAGGAACACCGGUGGCGAAGGCGGUUUCCUGGUCUGACACUGACGCUGAGGCGCGAAAGCGUGGGGAGCAAACAGGAUUAGAUACCCUGGUAGUCCACGCCGUAAACGGUGGGUACUGGGUGUGGGAGGUGUAAUGCCUUCUGUGCCGAAGCUAACGCGUUAAGUACCCCGCCUGGGGGGUACGGCCGCAAGGUUGAA
This 331-nucleotide ribosomal RNA is filed under the name uncultured bacterium. Its description in RNAcentral is "bacterial SSU rRNA". It matches the Rfam family "Bacterial small subunit ribosomal RNA", at positions 568 to 898 of the family's 1533-position model. The record is from RNAcentral.